GAGAGCGCGCGUGCACAAGCUGGGGCGUUGGCGGGGGACCCGGCGCCCGUCACCACGUGUCACCACCGAGCCAAGGGCGAGGCUCAACCGACCAGCCGCGGGCGCCCCUGGCCCUCUGUCCCUCUCGCGGAUCCCCAGCGCCUGCGCAUCAGAGCCGCAUGUUUUCAGUGGACCUGCGCCCCCCAACAGAACACGGGGGGCUCCGAACCCUCGGGCCUCAGCGUGUGGCCCACUGUGACACGGGCCUUCACGGACCUAACGGGGGGAGGGUGGCCCUCACCCGCCAGGACCCUUAUCAGAAGGGGAAAUUGCACCGCAGAGACUCGGGCGUGUUCGGCGUCAAGAUGCCGAGGUCGGAGCGCUGCUUCCAGGCCACUGGACCCCCCGCCCCCGGACUGCGGCCUCCCCCGCCUCCCCGGCCCUCCUCGCCCGCUGGGCCGGCCACCUGGUGCCAAAGCCGUGUCCCCGCCGGCCCCCCGGGAGGCCCAGGGCCGUGUGGAAGCUGGGAGGGCCCCUCCGGGUGGGGACGGGCUCCGGGCCGGGAGUCGGGCCGCCCCGCCUUGGAAGAGGAAGUUUACUAAGGACCCGGACAGACGCGGGGCCUCCAGCCUCGGCUUGAAAACUUCCCCCCAGACCAGCUCCCGGGGAAGGCCCUUUUGUCUACUUGUCGUUUGCGGGAAGCGUUGCGGAUUCCGAAGGCUUGAUUGCUUCCUUGUGGAAAGAAUAUGGCAAAGCCGACGCAAGAUGGCUCUAUUUCGACCCGACCAUUGUAUCCUUGGAAGUUCUGACUGUUGUCCUGGAUGGGUCCCUGGCCUUGGUCCUUGUUUAUGCCAUAGUCACAGAGAAGUAUUACCGGCACUUCAUACAGGUGACGCUGUGCGUGUGUGAGUUGUACGGCGGCUGGAUGACCUUCGUCCCAGACUGGCUCAUGGGAAGCCCCAACCUCAACACCGACGACUGGCUCUACUUUGGGGUCUACCUGGUAUUUUUCAACAGCGUGUGGGUUCUGAUCCCAGGACUGUUACUGUGUCAGUCGUGGGUGGAACUCAAGACCAUGCAUUACGGCCGGAGCGGCUCACGGGAGAAGCUGCAGUGACGCCUCCGAGUCGCAGCGCUGCUGUCCUCGGGGAGCCGGGGACAGGCCCCGCGUGUGGCGGCCUAGCGCUCCGCGUGCCGUCGCCUCCCACGCCUGCUCCUAAACGACCUGUUUCCAAUUGAUCGGUCGGUGGCAAGUGUUUGUUAUUGUUGUUUUUGUUCUUAUUUCAAUUCAGCGACAGUGCGGGGAACAGAGAGUCCAGUUUAGCUUGUAGUAGUAGCCCCUUUCCGUACGUGCCCUGAGCUAGCCCAGGUGUCCCACAGCAAUAAAGCCAAGUAUCAGAGAAUCCCGUAGAGCCUG
This 1396-nucleotide long non-coding RNA is filed under the name Vulpes vulpes (red fox). RNAcentral describes it as "lncRNA (ENSVVUG00000028140.1)". The record is from RNAcentral. Lineage: Eukaryota; Metazoa; Chordata; Mammalia; Carnivora; Canidae.